UACGGAAGGCAGCAGUGGGGAAUAUUGCACAAUGGGCGCAAGCCUGAUGCAGCCAUGCCGCGUGUAUGAAGAAGGCCUUCGGGUUGUAAAGUACUUUCAGUCGUGAGGAAGGUGUUAAGGUUAAUAACCUUAGCAAUUGACGUUAGCGACAGAAGAAGCACCGGCUAACUCCGUGCCAGCAGCCGCGGUAAUACGGAGGGUGCGAGCGUUAAUCGGAAUUACUGGGCGUAAAGGGCACGCAGGCGGUUAAUUAAGUUGGAUGUGAAUCCCCGGGCUUAACCUGGGAAUGGCAUUCAAGACUGGUUAGCUAGAGUCUUGUAGAGGGGGUAGAAUUCCAUGUGUAGCGGUGAAAUGCGUAGAGAUGUGGAGGAAUACCGGUGGCGAAGGCGGCCCCUGGACAAAGGCUGACGCUCAUGUGCGAAAGCGUGGGGAGCAAACAGGGAUUAGAUACC
RNAcentral lists this ribosomal RNA (452 nucleotides) under uncultured bacterium. RNAcentral describes it as "bacterial SSU rRNA". It matches the Rfam family "Bacterial small subunit ribosomal RNA", at positions 340 to 786 of the family's 1533-position model. The record is from RNAcentral.